UAACCUGCCCUUAACUCUGGGAUAAGCCUGGGAAACUGGGUCUAAUACCGGAUAGGAGCGUCCACCGCAUGGUGGGUGUUGGAAAGAUUUAUCGGUUUUGGAUGGACUCGCGGCCUAUCAGCUUGUUGGUGAGGUAAUGGCUCACCAAGGCGACGACGGGUAGCCGGCCUGAGAGGGUGACCGGCCACACUGGGACUGAGACACGGCCCAGACUCCUACGGGAGGCAGCAGUGGGGAAUAUUGCACAAUGGGCGCAAGCCUGAUGCAGCGACGCCGCGUGAGGGAUGACGGCCUUCGGGUUGUAAACCUCUUUCAGUAGGGAAGAAGCGAAAGUGACGGUACCUGCAGAAGAAGCACCGGCUAACUACGUGCCAGCAGCCGCGGUAAUACGUAGGGUGCGAGCGUUAUCCGGAAUUAUUGGGCGUAAAGAGCUCGUAGGCGGUUUGUCG
This 449-nucleotide ribosomal RNA is filed under the name Micrococcus luteus. RNAcentral describes it as "bacterial SSU rRNA". It matches the Rfam family "Bacterial small subunit ribosomal RNA", at positions 122 to 585 of the family's 1533-position model. Lineage: Bacteria; Bacillati; Actinomycetota; Actinomycetes; Micrococcales; Micrococcaceae. The record is from RNAcentral.